ACACGCUGGUGAAGGAAGCUUCUGUAGAAGAGAGAUCAGCAUGGCAAGGGCCUGAAGAUGCUUCUGAACUGAGGUCCUGCAUCCAACAACCCUCAAAGAACUAAACGCUGCCGACAACCUCACGAGCUGAGGAACGGAUACUUCUCCAGCUUACCCUUGGAGCUGAAAUGGGAAAGAAGGGCCCGAUGCUCCCUAAGAGAAGUAGAAAAGUACCCUAUUUGUGGUGGAGAUGUGUGCUUAUGAAACCCCAACAUCAC
RNAcentral lists this long non-coding RNA (257 nucleotides) under Fukomys damarensis (Damara mole-rat). RNAcentral's name for it is "lncRNA (ENSFDAG00000031037.1)". Lineage: Eukaryota; Metazoa; Chordata; Mammalia; Rodentia; Bathyergidae. The record is from RNAcentral.